ACGGAAGGCAGCAGUGGGGAAUAUUGCACAAUGGGCGCAAGCCUGAUGCAGCAACGCCGCGUGAGGGAUGACGGUUUUCGGAUUGUAAACCUCUGUCUUUGGUGACGAAGAAGUGACGGUAGCCAAGGAGGAAGCCACGGCUAACUACGUGCCAGCAGCCGCGGUAAUACGUAGGUGGCAAGCGUUAUCCGGAAUUACUGGGUGUAAAGGGAGCGCAGGCGGGACAGCAAGUCAGCGGUGAAAUGUAUGGGCUCAACCCAUGAACUGCCGUUGAAACUGUUGUUCUUGAGUGGAGUAGAGGUAGGCGGAAUUCCGAGUGUAGCGGUGAAAUGCGUAGAUAUUAGGAGGAACAUCAGUGGCGAAGGCGGCUUACUGGGCUUUAACUGACGCUGAGGCUCGAAAGCGUGGGGAGCAAACAGGAUUAGAUACCCUGGUA
The sequence is a ribosomal RNA, 436 nucleotides long. It matches the Rfam family "Bacterial small subunit ribosomal RNA", at positions 341 to 792 of the family's 1533-position model.